UACGUAGGGUGCGAGCGUUGUCCGGAAUUACUGGGCGUAAAGAGCUCGUAGGUGGUUUGUCGCGUUGUCCGUGAAAACUCACAACUCAAUUGUGGGCGUGCGGGCGAUACGGGCAGACUGGAGUACUGCAGGGGGAGACUGGAAUUCCUGGUGUAGCGGUGGAAUGCGCAGAUAUCAGGAGGAACACCGGUGGCGAAGGCGGGGUCUCUGGGCAGUAACUGACGCUGAGGAGCGAAAGCGUGGGGGAGCGAACAGG
RNAcentral lists this ribosomal RNA (256 nucleotides) under uncultured bacterium. RNAcentral describes it as "partial 16S ribosomal RNA". It matches the Rfam family "Bacterial small subunit ribosomal RNA", at positions 524 to 776 of the family's 1533-position model. The record is from RNAcentral.